GCCGACGUAGCUCAGCUGGUAGAGCGGCUGAUUUGUAAUCAGCGGGUCGUCUGUUCGAGUCAGAUCGUCGGCU
RNAcentral lists this transfer RNA (73 nucleotides) under Armatimonadetes bacterium CG07_land_8_20_14_0_80_40_9. RNAcentral describes it as "tRNA-Thr". It matches the Rfam family "tRNA". From Rfam's summary of the family: Transfer RNA (tRNA) molecules are approximately 80 nucleotides in length. Their secondary structure includes four short double-helical elements and three loops (D, anti-codon, and T loops). Lineage: Bacteria; Bacillati; Armatimonadota. The record is from RNAcentral.